RNAcentral lists this ribosomal RNA (218 nucleotides) under uncultured bacterium. RNAcentral describes it as "partial 16S ribosomal RNA". It matches the Rfam family "Bacterial small subunit ribosomal RNA", at positions 524 to 741 of the family's 1533-position model. The record is from RNAcentral.
UACGAAGGGGGCUAGCGUUGCUCGGAAUCACUGGGCGUAAAGCGCACGUAGGCGGAUCUUUAAGUCAGGGGUGAAAUCCCAAGGCUCAACCUUGGAACUGCCUUUGAUACUGGGGAUCUCGAGUCCGGAAGAGGUUGGUGGAACUGCGAGUGUAGAGGUGAAAUUCGUAGAUAUUCGCAAGAACACCAGUGGCGAAGGCGGCCAACUGGUCCGGAACU